AACGCACGAGACCUGCGGACCUGCGGAGGGAUCAUUAGUGAACGCCCUCACGGGCUUAUAACUAUUCCAAACCUCUGUGAACCGUGCCCUUCGGGGCUAUUUUACAAACAUGGUGUAAUGAACGUCAUAUAUCAUAACAAAACAAAACUUUCAACAACGGAUCUCUAGAUC
This 171-nucleotide unclassified non-coding RNA is filed under the name soil metagenome. Its description in RNAcentral is "partial contains 5.8S ribosomal RNA, internal transcribed spacer 2, and large subunit ribosomal RNA". The record is from RNAcentral.